This is a transfer RNA of Loxodonta africana (African savanna elephant), 72 nucleotides long. It matches the Rfam family "tRNA". From Rfam's summary of the family: Transfer RNA (tRNA) molecules are approximately 80 nucleotides in length. NCBI's taxonomy places the organism in Eukaryota, Metazoa, Chordata, Mammalia, Proboscidea, Elephantidae. The record is from Rfam.
GCUCUGGUGGCACAACGGUUAAGUGCUUGGCUGCUAACCAAAAGGUUGGAGGUUCAAAUCCACCCAGCAGCU